ACAUGCAAGUCGAACGAUGAUGGGAGCUUGCUCCUGGAUUAGUGGCGAACGGGUGAGUAACACGUGAGUAACCUGCCCUUAACUCUGGGAUAAGCCUGGGAAACUGGGUCUAAUACCGGAUAUGACUCCUCAUCGCAUGGUGGGGGGUGGAAAGCUUUUUGUGGUUUUGGAUGGACUCGCGGCCUAUCAGCUUGUUGGUGAGGUAAUGGCUUACCAAGGCGACGACGGGUAGCCGGCCUGAGAGGGUGACCGGCCACACUGGGACUGAGACACGGCCCAGACUCCUACGGGAGGCAGCAGUGGGGAAUAUUGCACAAUGGGCGCAAGCCUGAUGCAGCGACGCCGCGUGAGGGAUGACGGCCUUCGGGUUGUAAACCUCUUUCAGUAGGGAAGAAGCGAAAGUGACGGUACCUGCAGAAGAA
This 422-nucleotide ribosomal RNA is filed under the name Arthrobacter sp. E3. Its description in RNAcentral is "bacterial SSU rRNA". It matches the Rfam family "Bacterial small subunit ribosomal RNA", at positions 53 to 489 of the family's 1533-position model. The record is from RNAcentral. Lineage: Bacteria; Bacillati; Actinomycetota; Actinomycetes; Micrococcales; Micrococcaceae.